RNAcentral lists this ribosomal RNA (1920 nucleotides) under Triticum aestivum (bread wheat). RNAcentral's name for it is "partial small subunit ribosomal RNA". Lineage: Eukaryota; Viridiplantae; Streptophyta; Magnoliopsida; Poales; Poaceae. The record is from RNAcentral.
AUGUCUGGCCUCCUCCGGUGGAGGCGCCUCGCCGCCGCAGCCACGCGCGCCGCCUCCACCCUGACCGCAGCCGAAUGCUCCCCUGCCAUCGCGGCGGUCCCGCCACCGCACCGCCUCCUCCAGGAUCGGCGCAAGUGGGAGGGCCCCUCGUCCUCCUCCGGGGGCGGCUCCUCCUCGUCCUCCUCUAACGACGAGCCGGAGCCGCGGCGUAUCCGCGCGGAGGCCCACUGCCCGCGCUGCUCCAAGCACAUGGACAUCCUCUUCUCCCACCGCGCCCAUCCCCCUUCAGCCCCCGCCGCUGUCGGCGGCUAUCAGACGCUCAACCUCUGUCCCAACUGCCGCACCGCCUACUUCUUCCACCCCAACCACCUCGCGCCACUUCAGGGCACCUUCGUCGAGAUCGGCCGCGUCCGGGCUGACCUGCCCCCGGACGGCGUCAGGGUCAGGGACCCCUCCUCCUGGGAAGCCAUCCGUGCGAGCUCGUCUUCGCGCAACGAUGGGGAUGGUAGUGGCGUGGCCGUGCAUGUGCCGCCCGGGCCACCGUUCCAUCCUAGCCUUAACGUCGUCCGCGUAGCCGGAGGCGGUGGCGGGGGAGGAGCUGCUGGCGGUGGGGGCGAGGAGGGAGGGGGAAAGGACGGAUGGGGCGGGUCGAACCUUGGGAAGGAUUUUCCGACACCUAAGGAGAUUUCCAAGGGGCUCGAUAAGUAUGUGAUUGGGCAAGACCGAGCCAAGAAGGUGCUAUCUGUUGCAGUGUACAACCACUAUAAACGUAUAUACCAUCAGUCUCUACAGAAAGGGUCUGGAGCAGAUUUGGGUUGUUCUGAUGGAGAAGCUGAUGGUGAAGACAAUGUUGAACUAGAGAAAAGCAAUAUACUGUUAAUGGGCCCUACUGGUUCAGGUAAAACUUUGCUUGCAAAGACAUUAGCUCGGUUUGUGAAUGUGCCAUUUGUAAUUGCUGAUGCAACAACAUUGACCCAGGCAGGGUAUGUAGGAGAAGAUGUAGAAUCUAUAUUGUACAAGUUACUUACGGUGGCAGAUUUUAAUGUGCAAGCAGCACAACAAGGGAUGGUGUACAUUGAUGAAGUUGAUAAGAUCACUAAGAAGGCUGAGAGCCUUAACAUCAGUAGAGAUGUAUCAGGCGAAGGUGUUCAGCAGGCUUUGUUGAAAAUGCUGGAAGGCACAAUAGUCAAUGUCCCUGAGAAAGGAGCAAGGAAGCAUCCUCGUGGUGAUAAUAUACAGAUAGAUACGAAGGAUAUUCUGUUUAUAUGUGGGGGUGCUUUUAUUGACUUGGAGAAAACUAUAUCAGAGAGGCGGCAGGAUUCUUCUAUUGGAUUUGGGGCACCUGUCCGUGCAAGCAUGAGGACUAGUGGUAUUUCAAGUGCUCAAGUGACAUCGUCCUUGUUAGAAUCAGUUGAGAGCGGCGAUCUUAUAGCAUAUGGACUCAUUCCGGAGUUCAUUGGACGUUUUCCUAUCCUUGUCAGCUUGGCAGCACUAAAUGAGGACCAACUUGUUCAGGUUCUCACCGAGCCAAAGAAUGCUCUAGGUAAACAAUUCAAGAAGUUGUUCAGCAUGAAUAAUGUUAAGCUUCACUUCACGGAUGCUGCACUAAGAAUAAUUGCCCAGAAGGCAAUGUGCAAAAAUACAGGUGCACGGGGCUUAAGGACUAUCCUUGAGAAUAUUCUCAUGGAUUCCAUGUAUGAGAUUCCAGAUACAAAAUCUGGAGAGAAGCGAAUUGACGCAGUGGUUGUAGAUGAAGGUGCAGUAGGAUUGGUGGACCGACCUGGCUGUGGAGCUAAGAUCCUUUACGGCGAUGGUGCAUUUGAUCGUUAUCUAUCCCAGAUAAAGGCAAUGGGAGACGGAGCAGGAAGCGAAGUGGACGGGGAUCCUGACCUUUCUUCGUCAAGAGCCAUGAGCAUGUGA